This is a long non-coding RNA of Coregonus clupeaformis (lake whitefish), 932 nucleotides long. RefSeq lists it as uncharacterized. Lineage: Eukaryota; Metazoa; Chordata; Actinopteri; Salmoniformes; Salmonidae. The transcript has 3 exons. The record is from RefSeq and is a predicted model, not a curated record.
UAGCUAGAUACCAUAGUGCAGUUUUCUAUGACAUAAUGACUCGUUAACGCUAACGACAAUGUAGUGGAUUUUUUGUUGAAGAAUCCCUUUCAUUGCCCACAUCAGAUUCAAGCUUCUGGGAAAAAGCCUCAUCGAUCAUUUAAUGGACGAUGGUCUGCGUUUUCAAACUGCGCAACACAUCGAGAAGGGAAGAAGAAACAGGGAUACAGCAUUUUUGGGCAUGUAAGAGUUGGCUUUUAGGGGGCACGUUGCUUCGUAAACAAUGGCUCAUUGCGGGACGAAGCAAGGGGGCACUAUGAGAGGGAAAGUUUCGCUAACAAGGGCAACUGAAAGGAGCUUGCAGAGGUGAUGACCAGUCCACUACUCUCUCCUGAUAUGUCUCAUGUAACCUAUCAUCCACUGGCGCAUUGAAUGUUUCCUCUCCAAGUACUUCAAAUCCUGUCCUGUCCUCAGUGGAAGAGCUGAGCCAUUCUCCAACACCAUCCAUCCAUGAUGUACCUGUCCUGCACUGAAGCCUCUCAACACCUCAAGCCCUGUCCUGCACGGAAGUCAAGCCUCUGAACACCUAAACUCAUGCCUCGUACCCUCAUUCAAUCACUGCUGUGAUCCCUUCCUAUCAUUGUGAAAGUAGCCCUCUCAUUCCCAUUCCCCAUAAUAUUUUACUAUACAUUUCUUUAGUAAAUGUUUUAGGUAAAAAUAAAUUGUUUUUGGCGAUUUUUGAAACAUGCUUUGUCGUCUCCGUGCGGUCCACGACUAUACCAUGGUUCUCCCAUCCUCCUAAUUGUUUCAAGUGACGAGCUUCCAAUGCCUCGAAGAGAUUGCAAGUAAGCAUGUCACUAUACUGUUUUACACCUGCUGUAUCCUGUACACGUGACAAAUCAAAUGUGAAACUUGAAAUAACCCAACAGUAAAGUUCAUUCUUGCAAAACAUA